Paramormyrops kingsleyae is the source of this 2309-nucleotide non-coding RNA. Lineage: Eukaryota; Metazoa; Chordata; Actinopteri; Osteoglossiformes; Mormyridae. The record is from RefSeq and is a predicted model, not a curated record.
UGGUAAGUUAACGUUCAGUAUUGUGUGUUGUGUCACAUUCCUCCCAUGAUCGUUCUCAAAACUACCUGCCAUUUGUGUCACAGCCUUGUUGGGUUGUGCCACAAAUGAUAGCCAUCAUUCACUUCUCGCCACAAUGAGUCAUCGCCACCCAACACCCUGUCAGUGGAUCUUGGGUUUUCCCUUCUUGGACCAGUCUCAGUAGGUACCACAGCUAAGAAGCCUUGGCAUUUCUGAGAUGCUCUUACCCAGUCGUCUGACCAUAAUUAUUUAGCCCUUGUCAAAGUCACCCAGAUCUUCAUCCCUGCCAAUGUCUUCUGCAUUAGACAUGCUGACUAGGAGCACCAAAUGUUAUAGCUUACUGUCCAAUACACCCCAGACCUUGACACGCACUGUUUAUACUAGGUAGUCAACAUUAUUCAGUUCAAAUAGGGAUGGUCAUAAUAAUGGUUUUGGCUCAUUGGUGUAUAUUUACAUUAAAAUUUUCCAUGACUGUUCCCCUGCCCUGUGCACUAUGCUUUCUGGGAUAAGUUUAAGGUUUAAGGUAACCCUGUACUAGGUAAAUAAUGGAUGGAUGGAUGGAUGGAUGGAUGGAAAUGUUGAAGCUGAUUAGUUUCCUUAAAAUCAUGUUUGCUAAUAGAUUCAGGGAAAGACAUUUAGAGCUACCUGGUCAGGUUUACCAAACAAAGACACAAGCCAAUGCUAUGACGUACAAAAAAGCGAUUUACAGUGUCGGGAUCGAGCAAAUGAUUUUUUUUUUCUUCUUCACUGUUAGCACGUAAUGAAAGGAUCAUCAUUCUAUAAACUAUGAACAGUGUUUUAGAAUACGAGAGGCACCAAACAUCGAUGCAUUUCGUAAAUAUUUCUGAUUGAAAAGCUGAAUUCGUCAUCGAACAAUGCUCAGAAAGUGCAUGUUUGCAACACAACCGGCAGCCAAGGCGUCGAUCGCUGUCCGGGGUACUGAAGAUAACGCUGUGAUCUCAUCAUUGAACGACAUGCGAUAUUAUGGCAAUAUAUUGAAUUCAUAUUGAAAAUGAAAUGCCAACUCACCUCCUUUGUCACGUGACGCCCACCAAAAAUGAAAAAUUGCAUUGCAAUGCAAUGAUUCAUAUUUUCCUAAUAAUUUCAUAGAAAAAUUAGUUAUAGUCUAACUUCUAUGUACAUUUGCAAAUAAAUAAUUAAAAUACAUGGGAAAAAGUUCGUUAUUCUUCCGAUUUUGCAUAGGCCUAAUGUUUAAGGUACGUUAACGUGCGUAAAUCCAGGGUGAGGUAUUAGAGAUUUCAGUUAAUCAGUUUAAAUUUAAAAUUAAUUUCAAAUGAAUUCGGCACGGCGUAUAGAUACCUACGUUAUUUUAAGAAAAUUAGCAGCAAUAGUUUAACUAGAUCCAUAUCAUGUGUAAAAACAGUAAGAAAUAAUGUUGAAUUUAAAGUUUUACCUAAAAUGUGGAACGACGAUCCUAUAAAUUAACACCACAAAAUAAGAUGUGUUGGUAAAGGGGUCAACACCAAGACAAUUACAUCGCGUCACGGACUAAGUUGUCAGUAUACGGACAAUUUGACGAUCCCUGUUCUCAGUGCACGUAAGUUCUUGUCGGCUAGCUUUGACAAAUGUAAAAAGUACUCCUUUAUGCAGAAAAUCAUUUUGAAGUGACACUGAUGCCGACACUCGAUUUUCUCCCAUCGUCCCAAAAUAUGUUGCGUCUCGUCCCACUGUUUUUAGGUGAUACUUAUGGAUACAGACAGAUUAGACAGACAGACACAUAGAUAGAUCUCACCUAUUACUGGCAAAUUUCCGUUCCUUAAUUUGGGUGAUUUUGCAUGACCAGCUUGUCUGCUUUGCAUUCGCGCCAGGCGCUUCAGUUUCCGUGUUACAUCACUUACAUUAAUACUUGAUGUGAAUAUUACUCGCCUUGCACCCGACUGGCUGUGUGACGGGCGGACGGGAGAAACGGCAGGAUCAGGAAUGACAGGCACUUAUAGAGUUUCGGAAUGGGAGCGCGGACGGGUUCUCUAAGAGAGCGUCAUGGCACCAUCAUAUGCACCGUCUAGCAUCUGCACUUGAGUAUCAUAGGUUUAUUCAGUCCAUGAACGGUAUUAAAUAGAACAAAAUCUGCAUAUAACCGUUUCCAAACAUGUUCUUAAAAUACGUGACCUAAAUGAUCCAAAGUAAAUAUAAAAGAACCUUCAUUAUGUAAUUUUACUAAUGCUAAGAAAUGCAUUUCCUUACAUGAUAAUUCAGUGAUAAAUUAAGGGAAAAAAUGAUUGCAUUAGAUUAAAAAAUGACAAAAUAAAGCAACAUAAAGUGCACUUAAA